RNAcentral lists this long non-coding RNA (278 nucleotides) under Gallus gallus (chicken). RNAcentral's name for it is "long non-coding RNA NONGGAT011622". The record is from RNAcentral. Lineage: Eukaryota; Metazoa; Chordata; Aves; Galliformes; Phasianidae.
UCCUUGUGAGAUGGAGAACGCUGGGGGACCAAGGAGAGAAAAAGGAGCUCCCCAGAAGACAACAAGCAAAACUAAGCGACCUCACAUCCCCUAAAAGGAUGGGUUUCCAAGGCCAUGGCAGAUCGAGGUUUCGGUUUUCCUGACCUGUGACAAAUCAGCAUGAGCCUCAGCUGAAAGCAAGAGCCAAGAAAGAAAGAGUAGAGGAAGACACAGACACACGCACACAAAAAGAAAAAGCAAGAAACAGGUUUCAGCAAGGUUGCUCUGCCUCAAUCUCU